RNAcentral lists this ribosomal RNA (253 nucleotides) under uncultured bacterium. RNAcentral's name for it is "partial 16S ribosomal RNA". It matches the Rfam family "Bacterial small subunit ribosomal RNA", at positions 524 to 776 of the family's 1533-position model. The record is from RNAcentral.
AACGUAGGACACAGGCGUUAUCCGGAAUUACUGGGCGUAAAGGGCGUGCAGGCGGUUGCGUAAGUUAGGCGUGAAAGACUUCGGCUAAACCGGGGGAGGUCGUCUGAUACUGCGUAACUAGAGUGUGGUAGAGGCGUGUAGAAUUCCGGGUGUAGUGGUGAAAUGCGUAGAGAUCCGGAGGAAUACCAGUGGCGAAGGCGGCACGCUGGGCCAUAACUGACGCUAAGACUCGAAAGCAUGGGUAGCGAACGGG